RNAcentral lists this ribosomal RNA (429 nucleotides) under Actinomycetes bacterium. RNAcentral describes it as "Actinobacteria bacterium partial 16S ribosomal RNA". It matches the Rfam family "Bacterial small subunit ribosomal RNA", at positions 355 to 776 of the family's 1533-position model. The record is from RNAcentral. Lineage: Bacteria; Bacillati; Actinomycetota; Actinomycetes.
UAGGGAAUCUUCCGCAAUGGGCGAAAGCCUGACGGAGCAACGCCGCGUGAGUGAUGAAGGUCUUCGGAUCGUAAAACUCUGUUAUUAGGGAAGAACAAAUGUGUAAGUAACUAUGCACGUCUUGACGGUACCUAAUCAGAAAGCCACGGCUAACUACGUGCCAGCAGCCGCGGUAAUACGUAGGUGGCAAGCGUUAUCCGGAAUUAUUGGGCGUAAAGCGCGCGUAGGCGGUUUUUUAAGUCUGAUGUGAAAGCCCACGGCUCAACCGUGGAGGGUCAUUGGGAACUGGAAAACUUGAGUGCAGAAGAGGAAAGUGGAAUUCCAUGUGUAGCGGUGAAAUGCGCAGAGAUAUGGAGGAACACCAAUGGCGAAGGCGACUUUCUGGUCUGUAACUGACGCUGAUGUGCGAAAGCGUGGGGAUCAAACAGG